Long non-coding RNA from Oxyura jamaicensis (ruddy duck), 536 nucleotides. RefSeq lists it as uncharacterized. The transcript has 2 exons. The record is from RefSeq and is a predicted model, not a curated record. NCBI's taxonomy places the organism in Eukaryota, Metazoa, Chordata, Aves, Anseriformes, Anatidae.
CACCGCUCGGUCUGAAGCUUCAAGCAUGGUAAAUCACAAGAGAAACAGAGAGGAGAGGAAGACGGGAGGGGACCAAGGACGUAAACAUCCCUUGGAGCUUUGGAAUCGUCAGCCCAGAAGGUUUAGAAAACCUCUCUCUCCCUUAGAGGCUUAUUUACGUUGACGUAGGGCUAGCCUCUCUCCUGCUGUCCUUCUCAUCCUAUGUAAGAUGCAAGACCCAUGUGCUCCUUCAGGAUCUGCCCAGCAGAAAUCCUGCCCUACCUUCCCUCUUGUGCCUCUCCCCAGCUAACAGAGGUCUCUGUCAUGUCCUCCAGCUCCAGUUGCUGAUUGUCCCUCACAGUGCCUGUCCCUUGGGCAGCAGCAUUCACAGGACCAAGCAAAUAAACCUUGCUCUGAAUUGCCCUCAAGAGCCUCCUUAAAUGAUCAUCCUCUGAAGGGCCCCAAGCGCCUGUCCUCAGCAGUUUCAAGCCAUUAUUAAUGGAUUGAAUUCAUACUUCUUCUUUAUUUGCACAUUAUAUUAAACUUUGUGAAAUUUA